RNAcentral lists this ribosomal RNA (322 nucleotides) under uncultured eukaryote. RNAcentral describes it as "partial 18S ribosomal RNA". It matches the Rfam family "Eukaryotic small subunit ribosomal RNA", at positions 1470 to 1796 of the family's 1831-position model. The record is from RNAcentral.
CCCUUAGAUGUUCUGGGCCGCACGCGUGCUACACUGAGUGGAUCAGCGGGUCAGGUUGCGCGAAAGCGUUUCCUAAUCUUUAAAUCCGCUCGUGAUGGGGAUUGACGGUUGCAAUUUUCUGUCAUGAACGAGGAAUACCUUGUAAGCGCGGGUCAUCAUCCCGCGCUGAAUACGUCCCUGCCCUUUGUACACACCGCUCGUCGCUCCUACCGAUUGAGUGGUCCGGUGAGGCUUUGGGAUCUGAGCGGAAAGAGCGUUUCGCUGUUUCUGCUCGGAAAACUCAGUCGAACCUUAUCAUUUAGAGGAAGGAGAAGUCGCAACA